Long non-coding RNA from Cyprinus carpio carpio, 3081 nucleotides. The record is from Ensembl. Lineage: Eukaryota; Metazoa; Chordata; Actinopteri; Cypriniformes; Cyprinidae.
AUGCCCAGUGACGUUUUAUCUCUGUUGGACUGUUUUAACCUUUCACAAUUUUUUUUAUUUUUUUUUUUUUUUAUGUUCCUACACAUUGUAAAGGUCAUACAUUGUAUGGUACUUGGAGGUACCAUAUCUUUCAAGGUCUGUUCCACCUGUUCAAGGCCUAAUCCUAGGCAGUUCUUUCAUAUCAUUAACAGUCUAUUGAAGGAAGACAGUGGUAAUACGCUAACUGCAUCAGGCAUAUUUGUCACGAAUCCUGUCCAUGGACUUCCGUUCGAUCAACACCAGAGAUCACCCUUCCAUUAAAUUGACACUCACACUACACAAACUGUUGCAUGUCAUCCCGGACUCCCUGUUUAUAAGCACGUCUUCAAUAAAAGCUUUGCACAUGGAUCCGCAUGUCUCACAUCUUAUUUGCCCCGUAACAAUAUUGUACACAUUAGGCCUAUGUUGCCCUUUACUGUUGCCGAAAUAUUGAUUAACUUUUGUUUUUUGUUGAUUACUGCAAUACUCCCAUUGUUGUAGUGUCCAAAUCCUUUCUUAACAAAUUGCAAUGCCUUCAUAAUUCAGCAGCUAGAAUUCUAACUGGUUUUAGGGUUGGUGAUUAUAUAACCCCUAUCUUGGAGAUGUUACAUUGGCUCACUAUUAGGUAUCAUAUAGAUCUUAAAAUCCUUAUACUAACAUACAAGGCUCUGCAUGAUCUCGCUCUGCAGCAUCUGGUGAAUCUUUUAACACCUUACCCCCCAACUUGCAAUUCACGAUCUUCUCAGUGUGGCUUCUUAGCUGUUCUCAAAACAUGGCUUCACUCUGGGGUAACGGGCCUUUUCAUUUAAUACUCCAAAACUGUGGAGUUCUCUCCCAGCUGACAAUAGGGAUCUAAAUUCUUUAGAUUUUUUUUUUUUUUUUAAACUUCUCCUAAAACUUUUAUUUAUUUAUUUUUCAGGAUUGCUUUUAUUUGAUUAGUUUUCUAUUGUGGUGUUCUUUGCUAUUUAUCUUUUGUUAUAUAAUAUACACAUACAGUGUAUUGUCUUGUAUUGUUGUUUUUGCCUUUGUGUAAAGUUUUUAUGUAAAGUGCUUGAGAAAGCAACUUUUAAAGGCGCUAUAUAAAAUAAAUGUAUUUUAUUUUGUAUUAUUAUUAUUAUUAUUAUUAUUCAUUUCUGACCUUGUUGCUCACAUGGGUAUGUUAAACUCCAGCCUGGAAUUAAAUUCAAUCACAUUGCCCCUCUCUCCCCAAUACUUUCCUGUCUUCAUCCAACAAAAAGUCUCAAAAUGAAAAGAAGCUGCAGGGAAAUUGCCUUCUUUAAAUAAUUAUUGCAGUGCAUUCACAAUCAUGUUACAUCAACACAUGGAUUUUGUUACUGAAUAUAAUUUACACUAGAAAACACAGAUAAGCAAUUUAGAGGCUUUGUCUGUGUUGUCUUAGCUGCAGGGUGUUCACUGAUCAGACUUCAUUAGUAUUGAUCAGGCUGAUUUGCUGAGCUCAGCGGUUUGCCUAUGCUUAUGAGAAAACACACACAAAUGCCAGGCCGAAGAGAGAAGGGCCUCAGUGAGGCAACAUCAAAUUCAGUCUUCCAAGACAUUCAGUGUGUGGGAGCAUGUUUUCAUUGAUCAGAUUGUUUUGUUGUCUUUUUAACCUUCAUAUCAAAUUUUAAAAACCCAAUUAAAAAUUAAAAAAAAAAAAAUUUCCAUAUAUUUUAUAUAACACUUUAGUAUAGGGACCAAUGUUCACUAUUAACUUGUUGCUUAUUUGAAUGCCUAGUAUUAACAUUGGCUCCAUGUUUAUUAGUACUUAUAAAGCAUGUAUUCUACAUAUGUGUAUAUAAUAUACACACACGCACAGAAGUUCUUUCUGGUCCUCAAAUCUGAUUUGCUGAGAAGUGUGAUAUUCAAGUAAUAUUGGAAUUCCAACGUUUCACCUUUUUAUUUUUUUAUUUAUUUAUUUAUUUAUUUUUUGGUGGACACCCAAAUCCAAUAUAAUUAUAUUUCUAUCAUGAGAACUCUCGGAAGAUUUUAGCAUGGUAGUGGAUAUGACAAUGUUAAUGCAUUUGGUCUUGGCAGAAUAGAUCUGCUAUGCUGCUGCUGCUGUUGGUUAUUGCUGUAUUUGUAGAUUAUUGCCACUGCAAGCAAGUACAGGAACUUGCUACUGCCCAUACAUAAGCAGAUAUGGUCCUGUGAAUAUUUAAGACAUGCUGCCGCACAAAUAGCAUAUAAAAUAACCUGUUGCAGAUCUAUACAUUUGGAGCUGGGGAAGGUCGAGGGUUUCACAGGAACUCUGAAAGCGCACUGCAAAGCUCAGGCAAAUGCUAAUCAGCCAUUUAAAUGUAAAGCAGCAAACUCAUUGGCUGCAUAUGCAGUAUGAACCAAUCAGCUUGUGACAAGUCGUUUAGCACUAAGAAUAUCAUCAAUUACAUUAAGGACCCAUUAGCCUGUGCCAUCCAGAGUUUCAUGACAGAACUUGGUAUAGAUAAUUAAGUUUUUGUGUCAUGGAUUUUUAUUUUUUAUUUAUUUUUUUAGGUGAGAAUGUAUUGUUUAGACUUCAUAUGCGGUUUGUUAAUAAAGAUCAUGUCUAUUUGACAAUUUGCUUCAUUUUUUCGGAGAUGUGAGCUAUAAAGGGCAAAUUCUUUUUUUGUGCCCUCAAAGGCCACAUCAGGAAGGGGACGCCAUUUGUAGGGAUGUUCCAAAUGAAAGUGAACAACUGAAUCCCUUCACAAAGGGCCCUUCCAGAAGUACGUUAGCGAGUUUAGUUUGCUAUAGUUUAAUAGUAAAUAAGAAACAAUUAGACAAUAUUUGAAUAAAAUAAGAAAUAUUUAUUUGCAACAACUAAUGAAGUGCUGAAUGCUGCAUUUUCUAUGUGUAAAAACACCAAAGGAAGCAGGUCGUGAAGAUGACAAGAAAGCACAGAAUAGUAAAUCUAUUAAUAAUGACAUUGAUUAAACCCACCGCCUAUCACUCAAUAAAAAGAAUCACAUCCCUGCAUUUUUUUGUACAUUUUGAUUUUGUUUGGUUUAAUAAUUAAUACCUUAACUCUAGCGAGAACUCUGUUGUCUUGUGAAUUAGCAGAACUUGAACAGAGACAUUAUACAAUGC